GCCUGAGUGGCUCAGUAAGUUAAGCGUCUGACUUUGGCUCAGGUCAUGAUCUCAUGGUUCGUGAGUUCGAGCCCCACAUCGGGCU
This 85-nucleotide transfer RNA is filed under the name Felis catus (domestic cat). It matches the Rfam family "tRNA". From Rfam's summary of the family: Transfer RNA (tRNA) molecules are approximately 80 nucleotides in length. Their secondary structure includes four short double-helical elements and three loops (D, anti-codon, and T loops). The record is from Rfam by way of RNAcentral. RNAcentral also lists the same sequence under 4 other names. Lineage: Eukaryota; Metazoa; Chordata; Mammalia; Carnivora; Felidae.